Long non-coding RNA from Oncorhynchus kisutch (coho salmon), 1697 nucleotides. RefSeq lists it as uncharacterized. The record is from RefSeq and is a predicted model, not a curated record. The transcript has 3 exons. Lineage: Eukaryota; Metazoa; Chordata; Actinopteri; Salmoniformes; Salmonidae.
UCUUGCCUCUGUAACACCAGCUUUUCCUCUUCGGUAGCCUGAAAAUUGGGUUGGAAUUACAGAGAGAGCCCAGGGCAGAUUAGCUGAUGUAGAAGCCAGAAUAGGGGUAAGUAACUAAAGAUCUGAUGUUCAAGAGUUCUUGUCGGUUGUAAGAAAUAAUAGAUGAUAAGUGUAAGUAGACUAAAAAUAAACACAAGAUUUUUCACAAAAUAAGCGAAGUUGGGCCAGAGCUUGCAAAACGGUGGCCAUUCAAUACGGCGCCAUGCUGAAAUAGGCUGGAAAGGAGCCAGAGGUCAGGAAGCUAUUUACAAUAAACAGAAUGUUGGGGCCAACAGUAGGCAUAACCUCUUUUAGUAGUCUAGUAGGGCUCACGUACAUGGAGUUGCCGUACGUGCUUCCUGACCAGAAAUGUUGGUAUGGUGUCAGCUACUGUCAAUCGGAGUUCUAAUAUUUUCUAUCUUUCCUGUAAAGAAUCGUUAAAAAAAUUGCAGAGAUCAGGUAAUGCGAGCAUGUCACUGUUAAGGCAGCCGCAUGCUUCCCACCCGGAACAGUUCGGUACAGUUUGUGCAUAUUAUUAACGUUUUGUAUUAUGGUUUGGGUUUUGUCGGCUAUUUGGGCGCAUUUUUUUUCUCUAAGCCUCUGUCUGUGAUUGGUCAACUGCAGGGGUGCUUCUUGUCGAUUCAGCCCGAAACUCCGUGUGGAUUCAGCAUGGUGAAUGACAACGUCAUGCAUCGAUUGACUGAUAUGAUUCUAGCCAUGCAUUAUAUAAACACUACCAUGUAAAUGCCAAUUCAUGGAGGGAGAUUGCGGAGACGCUGGAGUCCGACCUGACCACUUGUUAAAAAAAAAAGUGUUCGCAACCAGUUCAAGGCAAAGAAAAGAAACAAGGGCCGCAGUGGAGAUGCUGGUGGAAAGGCUUCUCCAGGAAUGUUGCUGGCUUUUACGGCAGGUGAAGCAACAUGUCAUCUUCACCAAAGGAUGGGGAACAAACACCAGUGAAUGCAGACGGCACCUGGUUUUGUUCUCUGCACCCCAGCACUUCCUGUUCACCGGCCCCAAGCACGACCGCUGUCCCCAGUACUAACUCUUGACCGGCCCCCAGCCCAUCUCCCGCACUGAGUUGCAGUGCAGAAUUAGGAACAAUCUCCAUGCAGGACUUGAGCAACUCUAUCCUGGGCCCACCGGAGAACUACUCCACUGGCUUGCUCCUCACCGACGCCACAGAGCAGCAGCAGUAGUAGCAGGGGUGUGAGAAGAAUGGAGAAAAGGGCUGCAGACUCCGUCUGGACAUCAAGAUCUGGACAACAUCAUGCACCAAGCCACCAGCUUGUCCCAGAGGGUCCUGGCACCUAUGGAUGAACUCUCGCCAAAACUCUGGGAGGAAUUAGAUCACCAGCUGCAUGAGUUUGCGCAUGACGAAUAUGUACCACGACGACUGGGACCAUAGUGAAAUUAACAACUUGUUCUGUUCAGAUAUCUCUGAAGUCAGACACUAGACACUUUAAUUUUAUUUAUCGUACUUUUGUUGUUUACAUGUCUGUUUUACUAUUGUUCUGAAAUAUUUAUAUAAUAUUUAUAUCUACUCUUGUCACUAUAUUUCACCCUUUUGUUGUUUACAUGUCUGUUCAUAGCAGACACUUUAGUAUUGUGGUAUAUUUUCAGAAACAAGAAUAAAGGUUUAUUUGUGUCCUGAAAAA